RNAcentral lists this ribosomal RNA (492 nucleotides) under uncultured bacterium. RNAcentral's name for it is "partial 16S ribosomal RNA". It matches the Rfam family "Bacterial small subunit ribosomal RNA", at positions 29 to 507 of the family's 1533-position model. The record is from RNAcentral.
AGUGAACGCUGGCGGUAGGCCUAACACAUGCAAGUCGAACGGCAGCACAGUAAGAGCUUGCUCUUACGGGUGGCGAGUGGCGGACGGGUGAGGAAUACAUCGGAAUCUACUUUUUCGUGGGGGAUAACGUAGGGAAACUUAAGCUAAUACCGCAUACGACCUACGGGUGAAAGCAGGGGAUCUUCGGACCUUGCGCGAUUGAAUGAGCCGAUGUCGGAUUAGCUAGUUGGCGGGGUAAAGGCCCACCAAGGCGACGAUCCGUAGCUGGUCUGAGAGGAUGAUCAGCCACACUGGAACUGAGACACGGUCCAGACUCCUACGGGAGGCAGCAGUGGGGAAUAUUGGACAAUGGGCGCAAGCCUGAUCCAGCCAUACCGCGUGGGUGAAGGAGGCCUUCGGGUUGUAAAGCCCUUUUGUUGGGAAAGAAAAGCAGCAGGUUAAUACCCCGCUGUUCUGACGGUACCCAAAGAAUAAGCACCGGCUAACUUCGUG